GACGAACGCUGGCGGCGUGCUUAACACAUGCAAGUCGAGCGGUAAGGCCCUUUCGGGGGUACACGAGCGGCGAACGGGUGAGUAACACGUGGGUGACCUGCCCUCAGCUCUGGGAUAAGCCCUGGGAAACCGGGUCUAAUACUGGAUAUGACUCCAUGACGCAUGUUGUGGGGUGGAAAGCCUUGUGCGGCUGAGGAUGGGCCCCGCGGCCUAUCAGCUUGUUGGUGGGGNGAUGGCCUACCAAGGCGACGACGGGUAGCCGGCCUGAGAGGGCGACCGGCCACACUGGGACUGAGACACGGCCCAGACUCCUACGGGAGGCAGCAGUGGGGAAUCUUGCGCAAUGGGCGAAAGCCUGACGCAGCGACGCCGCGUGAGGGAUGACGGCCU
Molecule: ribosomal RNA, 390 nt
Filed under: uncultured bacterium
Lineage: Bacteria
Description: bacterial SSU rRNA
Rfam family: Bacterial small subunit ribosomal RNA
Source: RNAcentral